GGCCAGACUCCUACGGGAGGCAGCAGUGAGGAAUAUUGGUCAAUGGGCGGGAGCCUGAACCAGCCAAGUCGCGUGAGGGAAGACGGUCCUACGGAUUGUAAACCUCUUUUGCCGGGGAGCAACGGGGUCCUUGCGAGGGCCCGAUGAGAGUACCCGGAGAAAAAGCAUCGGCUAACUCCGUGCCAGCAGCCGCGGUAAUACGGAGGAUGCGAGCGUUAUCCGGAUUUAUUGGGUUUAAAGGAUGCGUAGGCGGGACCUUAAGUCAGCGGUAAAAUUGCGGUGCUCAACGCCGUAGAGCCGUUGAAACUGGGGUUCUUGAGUGAGCGAGAAGUAUGCGGAAUGCGUGGUGUAGCGGUGAAAUGCAUAGAUAUCACGCAGAACUCCGAUUGCGAAGGCAGCAUACCGGCGCUCAACUGACGCUCAUGCACGAAAGUGUGGGUAUCGAACAGGAUUAGAUACCCGGGUAAU
Molecule: ribosomal RNA, 468 nt
Filed under: uncultured bacterium
Lineage: Bacteria
Description: bacterial SSU rRNA
Rfam family: Bacterial small subunit ribosomal RNA
Source: RNAcentral